RNAcentral lists this ribosomal RNA (500 nucleotides) under uncultured microorganism. Its description in RNAcentral is "bacterial SSU rRNA". It matches the Rfam family "Bacterial small subunit ribosomal RNA", at positions 9 to 491 of the family's 1533-position model. The record is from RNAcentral.
GAGUUUGAUCGUGGCUCAGGAUGAACGCUGGCGGCGUGCCUAAUACAUGCAAGUCGAGCGAACGGACGAGAAGCUUGCUUCUCUGAUGUUAGCGGCGGACGGGUGAGUAACACGUGGAUAACCUACCUAUAAGACUGGGAUAACUUCGGGAAACCGGAGCUAAUACCGGAUGAUAUUUUGAACCGCAUGGUUCAAAAGUGAAAGACGGUCUUGCUGUCACUUAUAGAUGGAUCCGCGCUGCAUUAGCUAGUUGGUAAGGUAACGGCUUACCAAGGCAACGAUGCAUAGCCGACCUGAGAGGGUGAUCGGCCACACUGGAACUGAGACACGGUCCAGACUCCUACGGGAGGCAGCAGUAGGGAAUCUUCCGCAAUGGGCGAAAGCCUGACGGAGCAACGCCGCGUGAGUGAUGAAGGUCUUCGGAUCGUAAAACUCUGUUAUUAGGGAAGAACAUAUGUGUAAGUAACUGUGCACAUCUUGACGGUACCUAAUACAGAAAG